This 253-nucleotide ribosomal RNA is filed under the name uncultured bacterium. RNAcentral's name for it is "partial 16S ribosomal RNA". It matches the Rfam family "Bacterial small subunit ribosomal RNA", at positions 524 to 776 of the family's 1533-position model. The record is from RNAcentral.
UACGUAGGGUGCAAGCGUUGUCCGGAAUUAUUGGGCCUAAAGCAUCCGUGGCCGGUUCUGCAAGUCCCCCGUUAAAUCCAGCUGCUCAACAGAUGGGCCGCGGAGGAUACUACAGAGCUAGGAGGCAGGAGAGGCAAGCGGUACUCAGUGGGUAGGGGUAAAAUCCGUUGAUCCAUUGAAGACCACCAGUGGUGAAGGCGGCUUGCCAGAAUGCGCUCGACGGUGAGGGAUGAAAGCUGGGGGAGCAAACCGG